RNAcentral lists this ribosomal RNA (465 nucleotides) under uncultured bacterium. RNAcentral describes it as "partial 16S ribosomal RNA". It matches the Rfam family "Bacterial small subunit ribosomal RNA", at positions 28 to 507 of the family's 1533-position model. The record is from RNAcentral.
GACGAACGCUGGCGGCGUGCUUAACACAUGCAAGUCGAACGGAAAGGCCCUGCUUGCGGGGUACUCGAGUGGAGAACGGGUGAGUAACACGUGUGUGAUCUGCCCUGCACUUCGGGAUAGGCCUGGGAAACUGGGUCUAAUUCCGGAUAGGAGCCUGCUUUAGUGUGGUGGUUGGAAAGUUUUUUCGGUGUAGGAUGGGCUCGCGGCCUAUCAGCUUGUUGGUGGGGUAGUGGCCUACCAAGGCGGCGACGGGUAGCCGGCCUGAGAGGGUGGACGGCCACAUUGGGACUGAGAUACGGCCCAGACUCCUACGGGAGGCAGCAGUGGGGAAUAUUGCACAAUGGGCGCAAGCCUGAUGCAGCGACGCCGCGGGGGGGAUGACGGCCUUCGGGUUGUAAACCGCUUUCGCUAGGGACGAAGCUUUUUGUGACGGUACCUAGAGAAGAAGCACCGGCUAACUACGUG